UUUCUAAUAUUCCUCUCUAUUUUCUCCCAUUGUUUAAAUUUCUGCUGCAGAAAUUAUUGAGAGGGUGCUGAAGACACUACUUUUUUUGGGUCUGGUUCAAGUGAUUAAUUGAGAGAUCAAAGUUAGAUGGGAGAUGUAUUGGCAAAAUAGUUAUGGCAUUUCCCUCUAGAAUGUAACACUUUAUGGCAUAGGGUUAAGAAGAGCAUGUUGUUUGGAUCAGAAUGUUUGAGAUUCCAAAAUUAGUGCUUCUACCUGUUACAUGAGU
This 265-nucleotide long non-coding RNA is filed under the name Carica papaya (papaya). RNAcentral describes it as "long non-coding RNA (CPAP_LNC016373)". Lineage: Eukaryota; Viridiplantae; Streptophyta; Magnoliopsida; Brassicales; Caricaceae. The record is from RNAcentral.